RNAcentral lists this small RNA (1176 nucleotides) under Pongo abelii (Sumatran orangutan). RNAcentral's name for it is "retained intron". Lineage: Eukaryota; Metazoa; Chordata; Mammalia; Primates; Hominidae. The record is from RNAcentral.
CUCCCCCAGGAUCCUCAACUCCUGCACAGACCUGAUGAAGGUGAGGGGCUGUGACCCGGGGGGGUCUGCACCUGGAGGGCCACCAGUCAUUGCUGUCUUGGUCUCGGCAGGCUAUCCGGCUCCUGGUGACGACAUCCACUAGCCUGCAGAAGGAAAUCGUGGAGAGCGGCAGGGGGGCAGCCACGCAGCAGGAAUUUUACGCCAAGAACUCGCGCUGGACCGAAGGCCUCAUCUCGGCCUCCAAGGCUGUGGGCUGGGGAGCCACACAGCUGGUGUAGGUUCCCCUGGGUAGGGGGGUGCAGGGGGCUGCUUCCUGCCAGUUGGAGCAGUUUGGGGGUCAACAGGGUGCAGAAAGUAGAGGGGGUGUGGAGUGGUGCCAGCUGUCCAUGGGGUCAGAGACCCUGGCCCUGACUGGCCCUUGCCCCGCAGGGAGGCGGCUGACAAGGUGGUGCUUCACACGGGCAAGUAUGAGGAGCUCAUCGUCUGCUCCCACGAGAUCGCAGCCAGCACGGCCCAGCUGGUGGCGGCCUCCAAGGUGAAGGCCAACAAGCACAGCCCCCACCUGAGCCGCCUGCAGGAAUGUUCUCGCACAGUCAAUGAGAGGGCUGCCAGUGUGGUGGCCUCCACCAAGUCAGGCCAGGAGCAGAUUGAGGACAGAGACACCAUGGAUUUCUCCGGCCUGUCCCUCAUCAAGUUGAAGAAGCAGGAGAUGGAGACCCAGGUAGGUGCCCAUGGCUGCCCCGUGACCUCUGAGCUCAUCCCUCGAGCGAAGCCUGGACCCAGGAGAGAGCUCCCUGGGGAGGCUGGGCUGGGCUGAGCAGGCCGUGUGGCUACAGGUGCGUGUCCUGGAGCUGGAGAAGACGCUGGAGGCUGAACGCAUGCGGCUGGGGGAGUUGCGGAAGCAACACUAUGUGCUGGCUGGGGCAUCAGGCAGCCCUGGAGAGGCGGCGGCCAUCCGGCCCAGCACUGCCCCCCGAAGUGUAACCACCAAGAAACCACCCCUGGCCCAGAAGCCCAGCGUGGCCCCCAGACAGGACCACCAGGUGCCGUCUGUACUGGGAUGGGGGAGUUCCUGGAUGGGGGUGCCGUCCCCAGCCCUAGAGAGGCACAUGGUGCACAUCCCUGGGGAAGUCAGGGACCACUGACAACAUGCCGGGAGGAGCUUGCUCAAGGGAG